Papilio polytes (common Mormon) is the source of this 1115-nucleotide RNA transcript. RefSeq lists it as uncharacterized. Lineage: Eukaryota; Metazoa; Arthropoda; Insecta; Lepidoptera; Papilionidae. The transcript is spliced from 4 exons. The record is from RefSeq and is a predicted model, not a curated record.
AAAACCGCGUCGAGCCGCCGCGUUGUCACUCGUUACCGCUCCGUCGGACGUCGAAGCGAACGCGCGUUCCGAUUUAUUUUUUUGCAACUUCAACCCUAGUACAUAGUACUCCCGUAUAUCAAAUAUGAAACCACAAUUAAUUAUUUUGUUGGCUGCUGUCACAUUCACCGUAGCUAUGGUGCCUAAACUAAGGGUUUACGGUGACGCAUGUUCAGAAUGGGCGGCAACGUAACGUAACGUAAGGCGUGAAGCGAGACCGGACGCCGGACGCAAUCAAGGGCGCGCGCGGGCAGUGAACUUGGAGGAUGAGUUGCAACAUACGAUGGCGAGUGCGAGUUCCACAGCUGAUGAAGGCGCAACCGCGAGUACCUCCGCCACGCUGGAGGUCUGCAAGCCGGAGACGCCCUGCGCUUGGUAUAUAUACGUCACCAAGCAGAAGAUCAUCGACACCAAUAUUAUAAACACGUAUUGCACCUGUAACGUCGGCACGGAGUGUCAAUAUUACGAAGACGAUGAAAAUCUGAACGCUUUCAUCCACCGCUGCCGGCCGACCAACCCAAAAGAAGAUAAGAUGGAGAGCUAGCGCGCACAGGACACACGGACAGGGGGAUAAGCGUACACCAACGUAACUGUCACGCACUUAAUUCUGCCAUUUUAAAAAUGUCACACCAACACAUCGAAAUAAGAGUUACAUUUUUUGAGGUGUCUAAAAAGAUGGUGCUCUUCAGAUGCGUUGAUUAGCGUAACAAUUUAUUAUGAGUGUCAUAAUCGGUACUAAAUCAACAUUGUCAAGCUAUUGUGAUUUGGGUUGGCAGAAUUGAGCGGCAUGAAUAACAAUAUCAUGUUACCACUUGUAUUAUUGUGGAUAAGGAUUAGUUGUAACCAAACCUCGCGUGUUGCUCAUUACUUUUUAUAAUUCGGCAGAAUAGCCUUCAUUACAUUUUGUUUGCUGAUUGUCUUAACUAUUUGGAUAAAUUAAACCAUGCAUACUAAUUCUUAACGUCGAUUUCAAAAUUAUUAAUGGAUUAUUUGAACAUUGACUAUUCAUAGGUCUUCACUUACUAAGUCUUUUUGACAAUUUAAAAAGACGAAAAUAUUAUGUGUAUGACAAUAAA